AACUGGUCGGGAGCUGGGCCGCUCCCCUGAUGAGCCCAUGGCAGGGCGAAACCAGUA
Molecule: non-coding RNA, 57 nt
Organism: Jatropha curcas
Lineage: Eukaryota; Viridiplantae; Streptophyta; Magnoliopsida; Malpighiales; Euphorbiaceae
Source: Rfam